GGCCAGGUAGCUCAAUGGUUAGAGCGGCGCUCUCAUAAAGCGAUGGUUGCGGGUUCGAGCCCCGCCCUGGCCA
Molecule: transfer RNA, 73 nt
Filed under: Chloroflexota bacterium
Lineage: Bacteria; Bacillati; Chloroflexota
Description: Chloroflexi bacterium (groundwater metagenome) tRNA-Ile
Rfam family: tRNA
About the family: Transfer RNA (tRNA) molecules are approximately 80 nucleotides in length. Their secondary structure includes four short double-helical elements and three loops (D, anti-codon, and T loops).
Source: RNAcentral